This 1028-nucleotide long non-coding RNA is filed under the name Betta splendens (Siamese fighting fish). Its description in RNAcentral is "lncRNA (ENSBSLG00000012088.1)". The record is from RNAcentral. Lineage: Eukaryota; Metazoa; Chordata; Actinopteri; Anabantiformes; Osphronemidae.
GAUGUUUAAAAAAUUAUAAUAUAUAUAAAUAACUUCUCUGUCUCCACCUCUACCAUUCUUGCAGCAACACAAAAUAUUAUGAUUCGAAUAAAAGCUAAAAUUGUACAGAAUCUAACAAUAUGCACUAAAGCAUUCUAGAAAGUGGAGGGAGAGACAGCAAAAGAAGGAAAAGAAGCAGAAGGUCUUAGGUUCAAGGCCCGCUUCUGGCACCAGGUGUGUCCUUGAGCAAGAUACUUCACAACAGCUCCCUGGGCAUCACAAUGUGGCUAUCCACUGCUCCCCCAGGGUGUGGGUAAGAAUGCAGAGGUUCAUUUACCCAAUGUCUCAUGAAUAAAGUUCAAUAAUUAAAAUAUAAGACGAAGAACAAUACUUUGCCAAAUGAUAGUUUCUUACCUUAAUAUAUAAUCUGUAUUAAAAUAGUGUGAACUAAUUUUAUGGUUCUUAUAUAAAAAGUCACUUAACCCUGCUCAUUAUUGCUCCUAACUGUGUUUAUUACUUAUUUUAUUGUAGAGAAGUUGUAGGCGCUGUGGUUCUUGUGCUGCUGUACUGUCCCUUUAAGAAGUUGCCGCAGUCGCUGUUGAUUUGCGUCAUUGUAUUGCGCCGCUCUUCUCAGUUCGCGACGUUUGAUCUGAGAGAAGAGUGUUGAACAAAAUAGCAACUGAGCUCUGCAACAACGAGGAGGAGUUGGACGUAGACACCGGGAACAAAACCUACCUGUAUGAGUCUGAGUCAGAUGAUGAAGACCUGUGCUUCUCAGAGGAUGAUGAAGAUCCGGAUUACUCUUCUCCAGCAUCAGAGAGAUUGCGGUUUACAGUGAUGAGGAACCAGUCACUUCAUUUGCUCCUUCCCCCGCUAAGAGAAAGAAAAUACUCUGCUCUCUAGAGGAUUCUGCUCCAGCUGUCAAAAAGCCUGGAGAAAAGAAGCAGAAGACUUCCACUGAGGCUGAGGAGAAAAGGUGGCAUGAUAGAGAGGAGAAGGACAUCGCUCCUGACCCUCUCAGCUUCAUGCCAGCCAGGACCCCUGGUCCC